UACGUAGGGCGCAAGCGUUGUCCGGAAUUAUUGGGCGUAAAGAGCGCGUAGGCGGUCCGGUAAGUCGGUUGUGAAAGUCGGGGGCUCAACCCUCGAAUGCCGGUGGAUACUGUCGGGCUAGAGUGCGGAAGAGGCGAGUGGAAUUCCUGGUGUAGCGGUGAAAUGCGCAGAUAUCAGGAGGAACACCUAUUGCGAAGGCAGCUCGCUGGGACGUAACUGACGCUGAGACGCGAAAGCGUGGGGGACGCAAACAGG
This 255-nucleotide ribosomal RNA is filed under the name uncultured bacterium. RNAcentral's name for it is "partial 16S ribosomal RNA". It matches the Rfam family "Bacterial small subunit ribosomal RNA", at positions 524 to 776 of the family's 1533-position model. The record is from RNAcentral.